This 118-nucleotide non-coding RNA is filed under the name Triticum aestivum (bread wheat). Its description in RNAcentral is "Bacterial large subunit ribosomal RNA". It matches the Rfam family "Bacterial large subunit ribosomal RNA", at positions 723 to 840 of the family's 2925-position model. Lineage: Eukaryota; Viridiplantae; Streptophyta; Magnoliopsida; Poales; Poaceae. The record is from Rfam by way of RNAcentral.
GGGUGAUCUAUCCAUGACCAGGAUGAAGCUUGGACGAAACUAAGCAGAGGUCCGAACCGAUUGAUGUUGAAGAAUCAGCGGAUGAGUUGUGGUUAGGGGUGAAAUGCCACUCGAACCC